GAUGAACGCUGGCGGCGUGCCUAAUACAUGCAAGUCGAGCGAACAGACGAGGAGCUUGCUCCUCUGACGUUAGCGGCGGACGGGUGAGUAACACGUGGAUAACCUACCUAUAAGACUGGGAUAACUUCGGGAAACCGGAGCUAAUACCGGAUAAUAUAUUGAACCGCAUGGUUCAAUAGUGAAAGACGGUUUUGCUGUCACUUAUAGAUGGAUCCGCGCCGCAUUAGCUAGUUGGUACGGUAACGGCUUACCAAGGCAACGAUGGGUAACCGACCUGAGAGGGUGAUCGGCCACACUGGAACUGAGACACGGUCCACACUCCGACGGGGGGCAGCAGUAGGGAAUCUUCCGCGAUGGGCGAAAGCCUGACGGAGCAACGCCGCGUGAGUGAUGAAGGUCUUCGGAUCGUAAAACUAUGUUAUUAGGGAAGAACAAAUGUGUAAGUAACUAUGCACGUCUUGACGGUACCUAAUCAGAAAGCCACGGCUAACUCCGUG
This 497-nucleotide ribosomal RNA is filed under the name uncultured bacterium. RNAcentral describes it as "partial 16S ribosomal RNA". It matches the Rfam family "Bacterial small subunit ribosomal RNA", at positions 28 to 507 of the family's 1533-position model. The record is from RNAcentral.